AUGAAUUUUGUGUGCGUUUUCCUCUUUCUGGUGGCAUCUCCAGGAGGUGUCCUGACCCAGGUGCAGCUACAAGAGUCAGGCCCAAGACUGGUGAAGCCCUCACAGACCCUGUCUCUCACCUGCACUGUCUCUGGGUUCUCUUUAACCAGCUACGAUGUGAACUGGAUCCGCCAGGCUCCAGGAAAGGGACUCCAGUGGGUUGGUGAUAUAUGGGGUGGUGGGAGCACCCACUAUAAUCCAGCUCUCCAGUCCAGAGUCAGCAUCACCAGGGACACCUCCAAGAGCCAAGUUUAUUUAAAACUGAACUCUGUGAUUCCUGAGGACACAGCCGUGUAUUACUGUGCAAGAGACACAGUGAUGAGAAGUCAGUGUGAGCCCAGACACAAACCUCCCUGCAACAGGCCAUGGUUUUGGCAGAUGCAAGAGAGAGAGGUCAGUGAUGCUUUCCUCUCAGAAGCUGUGGGUUCCCCACCUGCCAGCACUUCCCUAGGGACCACCAUGUACAGUGACUCUGGGGAAUCUUCAUGCAUCUGA
Molecule: non-coding RNA, 534 nt
Organism: Echinops telfairi (small Madagascar hedgehog)
Lineage: Eukaryota; Metazoa; Chordata; Mammalia; Afrosoricida; Tenrecidae
Source: the annotation of a RefSeq genome assembly